This 484-nucleotide ribosomal RNA is filed under the name uncultured bacterium. Its description in RNAcentral is "partial 16S ribosomal RNA". It matches the Rfam family "Bacterial small subunit ribosomal RNA", at positions 28 to 507 of the family's 1533-position model. The record is from RNAcentral.
GACUAACGCUAGCGGCGGGCUUAAUACAUGCAAGUCGAACGGCAGCGCCGUUCGUUUUUCUGGGUGUCGAGUGGCGAACGGGUGCGUAACACGUAUGUAACCUACCCUUUACUUUGGAAUAACCUUUAGAAAUGAGGGCUAAUACCCCGUAGUAUCACCGACUGCCAUCUAUUUGUAAUAAAAGUUUUACCGGUGUAGUUUGGGGAUGCGUUCCAUUAGUUAGUUGGUAAGUUAACUGCUUCCAAAGACGAUGAUGGGUACGGGAUCUGAGAGGACUUACCCCCACACUGGUACUGGGACACGUGCCAGACACCUACGGGAGGCAGCAGUAAGGAAUAUUGGGCAAUGGCCUCGAGGCUGACCCAGGCAAGCCGCGUGCAGGAAGGCGGCCUGAUGGAUUGUAAACUGCUGGUAGACGGGAAUAAUAGAGUGUACGCGUACAUUUAUGCAAGUAUCGUAUGAAUAAGCAUCGGCUAACUCCGUG